RNAcentral lists this ribosomal RNA (497 nucleotides) under uncultured bacterium. RNAcentral's name for it is "partial 16S ribosomal RNA". It matches the Rfam family "Bacterial small subunit ribosomal RNA", at positions 28 to 507 of the family's 1533-position model. The record is from RNAcentral.
GAUGAACGCUGGCGGCGUGCCUAAUACAUGCAACUCGAGCGAACAGACUAGGAGCUUGCUCCUCUGACGUUAGCGGCGGACGGGUGAGUAACACGUGGAUAACCUACCUAUAAGACUGGGAUAACUUCGGGAAACCGGAGCUAAUACCGGAUAAUAUAUUCAACCGCAUGGUUCAAUAGUGAAAGACGGUUUUCCUGUCACUUAUAGAUGGAUCCGCGCCGCAUUAGCUAGUUGGUAAGGUAACGGCUUACCAAGCCGACGAUGCGUAGCCGACCUGAGAGGGUGAUCGGCCACACUGGAACUGAGACAAGGUCCAGACUCCUACGGGAGGCAGCAGUAGGGAAUCUUCCGGAAUGGGCGAAAGCCUGACGGAGCAACGCCGCGUGAGUGAUGAAGGUCUUCGGAUCGUAAAACUCUGUUAUUAGGGAAGAACAAAUGUGUAAGUAACUAUGCACGUCUUGACGGUACCUAAUCAGAAAGCCACGGCUAACUACGUG